RNAcentral lists this long non-coding RNA (1815 nucleotides) under Anthonomus grandis grandis. RNAcentral's name for it is "uncharacterized LOC126744350". Lineage: Eukaryota; Metazoa; Arthropoda; Insecta; Coleoptera; Curculionidae. The record is from RNAcentral.
UGCUUAAAACCAAAACAUUAGUGUGCAUAAGUAUUUUUAAUUUAUUUACAAUAAACUGGAAUUUCGGGAUAAGAUUUAAAUAUAAGUUACGAGGGCGGUCCGACAAGUGACACCACUAGCCUCACCCUCUAGUGGCGCCACUAUCGCAAGAGAAAUGUAUCGUGUGAAAUAUAUGCUAUAACUGGCAUUUUUGUACAAUUAAACUAAGAUAUUUUAAAACCAGUGCCUUAAAUCAUAGUUUUGCAAGAGUAACUUUUUUUCCAAAUUAAAUGGAGAAUGUAACAGUUGACUUUUUAUCACCUCGCAGAUUUGAGACAAAAAAGGACCAAAUCCCUCCGUAUGUUACGCCACUGGCAAUUUUUUUCUAAGAUUGGUUUCAUCAAUAAUUUACUACAAUAACGUGCAUGCGAAAUUUAAUUAACAUUGAGCUGGUAUUUUAAUAUUAUGAUAAAUAAACAAUUUAUUAUUCUUAACUUUAGCACUCUGUAUCUUUGUUAUUAAAUAUUUCUGCGAAAAGUUUUAUAAUGAAAGUCUUAUUUCUUUUUAAAUUCUCUAUCACGUAUUAAAAUUAAUGACGUUUAAACUGGACCACCCUGUAUAUUGGUACACCGGUAGCUGCAUCUAACUCUGGUGUGCUAUUAUCUAACGAAAACAGAGAUUUUGAGAAACAGUUAUUUAAGUUUAUAACAGUUUGAAUAUGGUUUUCAUUUCCUGCAGUUAGCCGAGAUUUGCCAUAAAGUAGAGAGUCUACUAUGUUUAGGAACCUUAUUCUCACUAUCGAGUGAUUCCAACUUAUCAACUAAGCACCGGUUUAUCUCCGAUAAGUCAGCGUUUUUGGUUUGUUGUCUAAUAAAUUCCUUCUUAAUUGUCAUCAGUUCAUCCUUUAAUUGUUGAAUGUUGGUGUCCCGUGCUUUAACCACCAAAAAAACUUCAUCGUCCAAAGCUUUAGUUCGCAUCUGAAGCCGUUUGAUGUGAUCAUCUUUCAAUAUAUUUUCCCCAAUUAAUCCAUUAAUUUCGGAUCCAAGAUUUGAUAAGUCAUCGACUUCUGCCUCAAGUUUAAAAAUAUACUUUUUUGACCCGAUUGAAUUUUGAGUGAUUCGUACUGUUGGGAUAUUUAUUGAAUUUACAUACAUUUGUAUAAUUUUAGACCUAAAUCUUUGUAGGGUCAGUAAUCAAAGACCUUUUUUUAAGAUUUUUACCUGCAUAACCCGAAAUUUUCCAUAUAAGAUGAGACUCAAAAAAAAUGAUGAGUAGUCCCAAAUAAGCUAUUAUGUACUACUUUACUUUUCAGAUCUAAAUUAAUUCUGUUCCCUGUACAUCAAAAGGCUAAGUUGAGAGCUGGUGAAGCCACUGCCAAAGAAAGGAAAGUCGCCACUCAGUUGACUGGUGAAGUCCUGCCAAUUAGACAGCCUGCUCUGAAAACCAAGGCUCGUGUACCAACAGAAGAAGAAAAGAACUUUAAUGCCUAUGUCACCCUUAGGAAAGCCCGCGCUGAUGCCAGGUUAGUUGGUAUUCGUGCCAAGAGAGCAAAGGAUGCAGCUGAACACCUAGAAGAUGUAUAUGCAUAUUCACGUACAAGUAGUAAUCUCGCUACUUCUGUGAUCAUUGUUUAUUCACUAUUCUCUUGAUCGUUAUUAUAGACAUUUUGUAAUAUUGUUAAUUAUUAUUUUGAAUAAACUAUUAUUAUUAUUAUUAUUAUGUAACCAAGGCUGGCAAAGAAAAGAAAGCCAAGAAGUAAAUAAGUGAAUAUUUACUUCAAGUUUUUUUUUACAUUGUUAGGACUAUAAAAGAAAAUAAAAAAUGGUUUCCAUAAAA